RNAcentral lists this non-coding RNA (66 nucleotides) under Gordonia araii. Lineage: Bacteria; Bacillati; Actinomycetota; Actinomycetes; Mycobacteriales; Gordoniaceae. The record is from RNAcentral.
AUGUUGUCAGUGAACUGACACCCGGACGAGGGGCACCGUACCCGGCCAGCGACAAGACGGCGCCGA